UGGGGAAUUUUGCACAAUGGAGGAAACUCUGAUGCAGCGACGCCACGUGAGUGAUGAAGAUCUUCGGAUUGUAAAACUCUGUCCUUAGUGAAGAUAAUGACAGUAACUAAGAAGCAAGCCCUGGCUAAAUACGUGCCAGCAGCCGCGGUAAUACGUAUGGGGCAAGCGUUGUCCGGAAUUAUUGGGCGUAAAGGGUACGUAGGCGGUUUAAUAAGUCCUAAUUAAAAGGCUAUGGCUCAACCAUAGUAUGGUUAGGAAACUGUUGAACUUGAGUAGAUGAGGGGAAAGUGGAAUUCCAUGUGUAGCGGUGAAAUGCGUAGAUAUAUGGAGGAACACCAAUGGCGAAGGCAACUUUCUGGAAUCAAACUGACGCUGAGGUACGAAGGCGUGGGGAGCAAACAGG
Molecule: ribosomal RNA, 403 nt
Filed under: Fusobacteriota bacterium
Lineage: Bacteria; Fusobacteriati; Fusobacteriota
Description: Fusobacteria bacterium partial 16S ribosomal RNA
Rfam family: Bacterial small subunit ribosomal RNA
Source: RNAcentral